GAUGAGAAUAAAAUAAUGUAUAAAUAUAAUAAACAUGCAAUAUACACAAGUAAUAUGAUAAAACAAUAAUAAUAAGAAUCGGCCUAAAUUUGCCUAUCGUCAAUAAUAUACAAUAUAAAUAAGAAUAUAAUUCAAACCUAAUUCAAAUAACUUCAAUAGGAAGCACCUCCGGGUACCUGUAAAGACACUUAGUAAAAGUGUUAGUUAUAAAUAAAUAUGAAUCAAAAUUAAUUUAAAAAUAAAUAUCCGUCUUAUUAACAUGGGAGACCUUGGAAAUCGACGGCAAUUUUUUCAUCGACCAAUUUUAACAUAAAACUUAUAUAAACUUAAACUAAAUUUCCGUCUUUUGAAAUGUGGAGGCCUCCAAAAUCGACGAAGAGAUUUUUUCAUUGGCCAUCAAUUUUUUCAUCGACCAAUUUUAACAUAAAACUUAUAUAAACUUCAAAAUUAAUUUAAAAAUAAAUAUCCGUCUUAUUAACAUGGGAGACCUUGGAAAUCGACGGCAAUUUUUCAUCGACCAAUUUUAACAUAAAACUUAUAUAAACUUAAACUAAAUUUCCGUCUUUUGAAAUGUGGAGGCCUCCAAAAUCGACGAAGAGAUUUUUCAUUGGCCAUUUUUAAUCAAACAAAGAAAUAUGAACUUAACUAAAAUUUUCCGUCUUUUUACAAUGUGGAGGCCUCCAAAACCGACGGAGAGAUUUUCUCAUUGGCCAAAUUUAACUUGUCUUUCAAUAUCAUAUGGAACCAAUAAUAUAUAUAUAUAUAUAUAUAUAGAUAUAUAAAACAAUAGCAGCACAACAAUCCUAUAAAGCUAACAAGAACAAAAUAAAGUAAUAUGCAACAUUUAAAUAAUACUAAUUAACAUAACAACAUGAGUAAUGAAAUAAAAAUAAAAUAACCACUAGCAACAUAACCGGUAACAACAAAAACAAUAUAAAGAAAUAAAUAAAAUUUAACACUGCCUAACUUUAUAGUCAAAAUAAUGGUAACAUAAUAAUAAAUAAAUAAAGUUGAAUAACAUUAGAUAAAACCAAAUUAUAAUUAAAUGCAGCCAAAUAAAGUCAAAACAUUAUAAAUAUAGAUCUGAAAAGAAAAUAUAUUAACAAAUAAUUUGGAGUUUAGCGACUCCCACUGGCGAUGACAAAGCAACACAAAAUUAAGGCUAACUAAAUAUGAUAGCUAACUAGUUAAUUUUGACGCAAUAACAAUAGCAAAAUAACCAAUGGAAAACCAAGCAACAGUGAUAAUAUAAUAAUAAAAACAAAUUAAUUAACAACAACAACAUCGAAACAACAACGAUAAAAUAUCUAAGCUAUAACAGACUUUAUCUAUUAACCAUAAUAAAUAAUUAAAACUAAUAAAAUAAUAAUAAAUAACAACAAUUGUAGCAAGAUAUCUAAAGCCAUAUCUAUGAACAGAAAGAAAUAAAGCAAUAGAAAUAGCUAAAUAAAUCAAAGAUACCAGAGAGAAUAAAAUCAACAGAAAAACACCACUUAACACAAUAAGCAAAAACUAAACCAACGUAAUAAGAAUAUAAGCAACAAACAAGGAACAGUAAUUAAUAAUAAAGAGCAAAGCAACCCAAGUAUCAAGCAAUAUUUAGAACAAAAAUUAGACUAAGAGGAACCUGACUAGCGGAGCUCAGUGUUGUCUUCAUUGUUGCUCCGAUUUGUGGUGAGAUCCAGUUAAGUGGAAAUUUAGCCGGAGUUCGUCAAAGUUGAGACGGAACACACAUAAACAAACAAAAAUCGUAAAGGAUAAAAGGUGGAAGGACUGGUCGUCGUUUUGGUGUCAUUUCCGGUGAACUAAAAAGGGAGAAAAACAAAGAGGGGUUUGGUCUGGUUUCGCCGGAAAUGGCGUUGGGUUGUUUGAUGGUUCUUCACGAUGGGGUUCUAGUGGGUCUGGUGGCUGUUUGGGUGGUUUGGAGUCGGGGUUUUUGUGUUUCGGGCGGCUGGUUGUGUGGUCUGGUGGCGUGAAGAGGGUGGUGGUUUGUUGUUUUCCGGCGUGGGUUUUUAGUGGAGAAGAUGGGAGCUGCUGUUUGGAUGGUGGUCGUUUGGUGGUGGCGGCAGUUAGAAAAAAUAUGAGAGCCAAGAAUUCUUAG
RNAcentral lists this long non-coding RNA (2101 nucleotides) under Solanum tuberosum (potato). RNAcentral describes it as "long non-coding RNA (STUB_LNC001450)". Lineage: Eukaryota; Viridiplantae; Streptophyta; Magnoliopsida; Solanales; Solanaceae. The record is from RNAcentral.